CUAUGUCCAAACUCCAUUGUGUUGUAUGACUAAAUAAUAUUUCCAUUAGAGCUGUCAAAACGAGUUGAUUCAUCCCGUUAAGCCUGUUUUGCAAUAGGCAAAAUAUAUUUUGGCAUGUAGUUAGUCUGUCCGCACGACCCGCGGGUAGCAUAUAUGAAACACAAACCCGUCGCGCGAAUGUAUGCUGAUUUGCGGGGUUAUCCGUGGAUUUUGUUUAAAUAAUUUUAGAGUAACCAAAAUUUAAAGAAAUAAAUAAAUUAGAAAAAAUUUAGAGAUUAUAAUCUUAUAUAUCAUUAUAUUUAUAAAUAUUAUAAUUUUGUUUAUUAAAAGUUUUUUAAACUACCACAUGUUGAAUAAAUUAUAUUUUUAUCAAUAAAUACUAUCAUGCGGGUUGAUCCGCC
RNAcentral lists this long non-coding RNA (401 nucleotides) under Arabidopsis lyrata. RNAcentral's name for it is "long non-coding RNA (ALYR_LNC002050)". Lineage: Eukaryota; Viridiplantae; Streptophyta; Magnoliopsida; Brassicales; Brassicaceae. The record is from RNAcentral.